UACUUGGUCUAAUGGCUAGGAUAUCUGGAUUUCACCCAGAAGGCCCGGGUUCGAUUCCCAGCGAGGGGAA
Molecule: transfer RNA, 70 nt
Filed under: Cordylochernes scorpioides
Lineage: Eukaryota; Metazoa; Arthropoda; Arachnida; Pseudoscorpiones; Chernetidae
Description: tRNA-Glu
Rfam family: tRNA (bases 5-61)
About the family: Transfer RNA (tRNA) molecules are approximately 80 nucleotides in length.
Source: RNAcentral